Molecule: unclassified non-coding RNA, 917 nt
Filed under: Hevea brasiliensis (rubber tree)
Lineage: Eukaryota; Viridiplantae; Streptophyta; Magnoliopsida; Malpighiales; Euphorbiaceae
Source: RNAcentral
AUCAAUUGCAACAACAAUAGUUCAAACUCAUCCACAGCCUCAUUCAUCACCAACUUUGUUGAUGCCCCCACCAAACAUAUAAGGUUGAGCAGUGCGUAAGUGGCAAUAAUGCUAAACAUCGAAGAUGAUGCCCCGAACUCCAUGACCUCUUGUUGGUACCUCAUUGAUAGAUCCUUAUCAAAGACCUUCGUGGUGAGAACAAAAGAAGUUUGGGAAAAUCCCAUAAUUUUGAAGAUGGUAUCAAUGGUGCCAUAGAGGUACGAGGUAAUCCUCUUGAAUACCCACAUCCUUUGUGUGUUCCACCACCCGAUCAAUGUUCCUCCACAUAGCAAUGACUCAAUAAGACAGUAUGCUUGCUUGGCAAGUAUAACAUAUGCAAAUGGUAUGAACCAAACACUAGAAACCUUCGGAAACAAUGAUAUACCUUUGAGUAAGCAAAUCGAGGGGAUGGCGAAGUAGUACAAGAAUGCCAAGCUGUUUGCAGCCCACAAGCCAUAAAUGCCAUAGCACAUUUGAAGUCCAAGUUUUAUCUUCCCAUGACCAUAUAGAAAGGGACAGUACUUGGAGGUAAAAAUUUGGAGGUGCCCCUCAGCCCAUCUCUUAUGUUGGACCAGAGUUUGGCCCAAAGUUGUGGGCGCUACACCAACGAAGCCUUUCCUUGCAGGGUUGUAAUAGACAGAUUUCCAGCCCCUGUAAUGUAUCGAUAGGCCGGUAAGAACAUCCUCGGCUGCACAGCCAUACAUCAACCCCAUCUCUUUUCCCCACUUGGUGUUUUGCUCAUAUGUGCAGGUAGUAAGUAACUUUGCCCUCUCUUCCAAUAUGCAUGGACUUUCUUCUGUAUGUCUCUUAGUUGCUCCCAUCAAAUCUUCUGUGUAAUCAUUGCUAUACUUCCUUCCACAUAAACUCUCUCUCCUGUG